RNAcentral lists this ribosomal RNA (1365 nucleotides) under uncultured bacterium. Its description in RNAcentral is "bacterial SSU rRNA". It matches the Rfam family "Bacterial small subunit ribosomal RNA", at positions 8 to 1360 of the family's 1533-position model. The record is from RNAcentral.
AGAGUUUGAUCUUGGCUCAGGAUGAACGCUGGCGGCGUGCCUAACACAUGCAAGUCGAACGGAGAAUACAUUUUUAAAGCACUUAGCUUGCUAAGCGUGGAAAUGUUGUAUUCUUAGUGGCGGACGGGUGAGUAACGCGUGGAUAACCUGCCUCACACUGGGGGAUAACAGUCAGAAAUGGCUGCUAAAACCGCAUAAGCGCACAGCAUCGCAUGAUGCAGUGUGAAAAACAUUAGUGGUGUGAGAUGGAUCCGCGUCUGAUUAGCUAGUUGGUAGGGUAAGAGCCUACCAAGGCGACGAUCAGUAGCCGGCCUGAGAGGGUGACCGGCCACAUUGGGACUGAGACACGGCCCAAACUCCUACGGGAGGCAGCAGUGGGGGAUAUUGCACAAUGGGGGAAACCCUGAUGCAGCGACGCCGCGUGAGCGAAGAAGUAUUUCGGUAUGUAAAGCUCUAUCAGCAGGGAAGAAAAUGACGGUACCUGACUAAGAAGCCCCGGCUAACUACGUGCCAGCAGCCGCGGUAAUACGUAGGGGGCAAGCGUUAUCCGGAUUUACUGGGUGUAAAGGGAGCGUAGACGGCAAGACAAGCCAGAUGUGAAAGGCAGGGGCUCAACCUCUGGAUUGCAUUUGGAACUGCCUGGCUAGAGUGUCGGAGAGGUAAGUGGAAUUCCUAGUGUAGCGGUGAAAUGCGUAGAUAUUAGGAGGAACACCAGUGGCGAAGGCGGCUUACUGGACGACAACUGACGUUGAGGCUCGAAAGCGUGGGGAGCAAACAGGAAAGAUCCCUGUAGUCCACGCGGUAAACGAUGAAUACUAAGGUGCCGGGGACCAAAAGGUGUUCCGGGGCCCCAACCAAACGCAAUAAGUAUUCCACCUGGGGAGUACGUUCGCAAGAAUGAAACUCAAAGGAAUUGGACGGGGACCCGCACAAGCGGUGGAGCAUGUGGUUUAAUUCGAAGCAACGCGAAGAACCUUACCAAGUCUUGACAUCCCAAUGACAGGGACUUAACCGUCCCCUCUCUACGGAGCAUUGGAGACAGGUGGUGCAUGGUUGUCGUCAGCUCGUGUCGUGAGAUGUUGGGUUAAGUCCCGCAACGAGCGCAACCCUUAUCUUUAGUAGCCAGCAGGUAGAGCUGGGCACUCUAGAGAGACUGUCGGGGAUAACCCGGAGGAAGGUGGGGAUGACGUCAAAUCAUCAUGCCCCUUAUGAUUUGGGCUACACACGUGCUACAAUGGCGUAAACAAAGGGAAGCAACCCUGCGAAGGCAAGCAAAUCCCAAAAAUAACGUCUCAGUUAAAAUUGUAGUCUGCAACUCGACUACAUGAAGCUGGAAUCGCUAGUAAUCGCGGAUCAGAAUGCCGC